ACUCCCCAGGGUCCUGCUCCCGCACUGACCGAGGGCCUUUCAGAGGUGACCGGGUGCCACCCUCCCCCGCCCCCCGGCCUCGCUCAUCAGACCAUAAGCGCCCCAGAAAGGAGAGCGGGCGGGUUCGCAGGCCGGGAAGGCUUGUCGUGUCCGGCCCCCGCCCCGCCGCGCGGCUAGGUAACUGCUCGGGCUCCCGCGCGGCCACCAAGUGUUCCAGGGUGAGGAUCUGGCGAAAUGUGGCCGAGACAGAGGGCGGCGCGGCCGUGCACCGGCCCCCGCCUCCCGGGGCCUCCAUUUGACCCAACUUGAGGCUUGAACUCACGACCCCGAGAUCAAGAGUCACAUGCUCUUCCGUCGGAGCCAACCAGACGCUCACUAGGUUUCUUUUAAGUUCACCUACAAAGGACCAGAAGAAAGAACUCCAAGAAGGCUGAAGAAGUAAAAAAGUCUUCUGGGGGCUGCUGGUCUGGAGCGAAUCCCUGCAGAAUGAGAGAGAUGUGAGUCCUUGGAAGGCAAGGGAAUGAACAGGACUUUCCAUUUCAGGGUGAAAACCAGUGGCUUAAGGUACCUGGUGCUGUUGGUUCCUGAGUUUUUUUGAAGAUUCUCUAGUGUGAAACAAGCUCAUUCUUCGCUUUAUCUACUGCCAACUCAAGGCCGGAGAUACAGAUCUGAGAGAGACAGCACCUGCCCUCAAGGAUCUUACAGUCAAGGAGGCAAGGUCAUCACGCACAUCUGAUCGCAGACAGUGAGAUGCAUUCAAUCACAGGGAUGCGUCCGCAGUGCUAAGAGCCUGGAAGAGGGGCAGCAAGCACCAUGGGCAGGCCUUUGCAUGCCAGACCAAGGAGCUGGGACUCUGUAGGCGGUGGGAGCCCCGCCAGGAGAGAGACUUGGGUGGCUUUGCAUCUGGAGCCCUCACUGCUGCAGCUGGGGCUGGAGGGACAGGGGAAGGCGGGACGGCCAGCAGAGACACCACCAUCCAGGCGAGCAGUGGCAAGGGAAUGAAGACCAUGGGUGGAUUCCAGGGCUGGCGAGAGGUCCCCUCCACAAGACGAGGUGGGUGCCUGGAUGCAGGGAUAAAGCCAAGAGGCAAGGACAUGGGUGACUUUAGGGUUCCUGGCUUAUGCGGCUGGGUGGAUGGUCGUGCCUUGGGCCACAUUUUCUUUGAACGCAAAAACAAAAAUCAUGGCCUAUUCUUAGUAAUUCUGAUUCCCUGUGGGUAUUUUUGGUACCAGAGUUUAUUUCGUUGUCCCAUCUUCUCUAAGAAAAUUCUAUCUGAUAACUAGUAGAGGCUGUAAAUAAGAGCAGAAGAAGGGCAGGAGUCUUUGCUUCCCCGCCCCCCCACCCGCCUCCCCGGAUGGGAAGCAAUGUGGGGUAUUUAUUUGCUGUUAACUUACACAGCCUACCAGCGUGGAGAGGGGUGGCGGGUGAGGGCUUACACAGCCGCUCAGGUACUGCCCAGUUGGCCAGGCAAGUUCUCAAAACAGCUUCUGGCUUGGCCACUUCGCCGGGCACCAGCCCCACAGGUUAUGAAAUGUUUAAUACUGUGUUUUUAUGGGAGAAAUGCAACAAGGAGAUAGAAAUGUGUUGUAAAGGUGGUCUGACCAGAUAUUGCUCAACCGACUGGCCUCAAGAACAGGAAUGUUUCUGGCCAAUACACAUUUAAGGGAGAGAAAUGAAAACAAAAGCAAUCAAAUGGUAUUUUUCUCAGACUUGAAGGGAAGAUGCAUUCUCAGCUUGAGAGAGACUUUCUUUUUCCUAAUUAAGAUGAAUGUAAUGUUUAAUUACAAAGACCCCAGGUAAACUAAAAAUGGACUGUUGCGAAUUUUAAAAAGGUAAAAGGAUUCAUGUUGGAAGAAGUGGACUCUCGCUGAGUCUCAGAUGACUCAAGUGUCUUUUGCAUUAUGAAGGACUGGGAUUUUCAGCUGCACAGCAUAUAUGCUUACCGUUGGGGCGUGUGUGUGUUGUGUGUGUGUGUAUUUAUCUCACACCAAAGACCGAAAUCUCACGAAGCCUUGGUUAGCAGGUGUCAUGAUUAUCCUAUAAACACAGCACACUGUGGAUUGCUGCCACGUAGUUAUUUUCUUCAGACAUAUCUUUGUGGUAGAAUGUUCUCUCUCUCUUUUUUUAAAGAUUUUAUUUAUUCAUUUGAGAGAGAGACAGAGAGAGCACAAGCAGGGGAGAGGGGCAGAAGGAGAGGGAGAAGCAGACUGCCCACUGAGCAGGGUGCCCGAUGCGGGACUCGAUCCCAGGACCCUGGGAUCAUGACCUGAGCCGAAGGCAGACGCUUAACCAUCUGAGCCACCCAGACGCCCUAGAAUGUUCUCUUUCUGGAAGCCAACGACUUCUAAUACUGGAUUCUUGAGUGUAGCAAUAAGCCUCCCCAAACACAAAUACAUUUCCUGCGUUUUAAAAGUAAUGGCCCGCAUAGCCAUUCAUCUCCAUGACUGGUGAUUCGUGCAAAAAAAUGGGAUCUAAGAAGUGUUAAUGAAGGAACCAUCCUUGAACUCUGAACAGUCAGAACCAAGCCUUCUAAUGGACACCCAAGCAUGCAGUUAGGGGAAGGAAGGUUUGAGGUUGAAUCCUAACUGAACGUCUCUCGAUAACCUGCAGCCUGGGCAAAGGUGUGUCCCGAUGCUCCGUGGCGUGCUUGGAACUCCCCAGCUGGUGGAUUGAGAGUUGUUUGCUCGCCCUGUUCAAAACGAGAGGUGUAAAAGGACACCUGAAAGACGACUCAUAAUUUGUAACUGACUGGCGUUGCUUGACGAGCCCCGUGUAUUUAUAAUCUUUCAAAGCCACAUGCAAAGGUCCCCGUGCCUCAUUAAUCAUCCAGCUGCAAUAUUUUUGUCUAUCAUGCUGUUUGUUACCACAAGACCUGAACUAAAGUAAACUUCUCCUUCCCAAGUUUUGCCUUGUACCAGAGCUACUGCGCUAGUCUUUCUAAAUUAUCGCAACCCAUGUCUGUUUCAGGCUGGUCCCCGGGGGCUGUAAUUGCAGAAGUAUAACCUGGUAGUUAGGUCACAUGGUCCAAGGAACCGCCGGGGCACCAACGUGCUUCCUGCCAGACGACCUUUGGCAGCUGGAGACACGGGUGCCCCAUCUGCAGCCGCUGGCUGUGUGUGCGCUCCGCUCUCUGCUAUUCCCAGGGCAGAGUGGAGGUGCCUGUUGAAAACCCCGAGUCAGAACUUGGAACCCUGAGCUCCCGCUCUGCCACCCUAUCAAUUUCCUGUUAAUGGAGUGGCUUGCUCAGGUGUUAAUUGGCAAGGAUGUUUGUUUGCUUUUGUUUCUUAUAAAAAGAACGGUAUUUUAGUCUGAGACAUUUCCUACUUUUGAAUUAGCUUAGGGCAUGUUUCCUACUAGAAAGAUAAGCAUUAUCUAUACAAGGAUGCGGACUAUCUUCCUCGGUUUAACCCUUGGGAACGGAGGCCUGGCUUCACAGCGGAGGGGAUUCAGGCAGGGCACAGCCCGUGCGUGUGGGGAUGUGGAUGCUGGAGAUGCUGGGCCCGGGUCUGAUUCGUAUCUCAAGCCUCAGUGUCCUCAUCUGUAGCAGAAGGUAGUCGUGAGGAGUCCACGAGCUAAUGCGUAUGAAUGACAGCCACACACCACGAAUGACAGCCCUCACACUGUUCCUUCACUAACUCAUUUCCCCCUCAGAGCAGUUCUGUGGCGGAGGCGCUAUUUCUAUCACCCCCGUUUGACAGAUGGGAACUUGAGGCCCAGAAAGGUACAGACAGUAACUUGCCCAAGGUCACGCAACUACUGAGGGGCAGACCUGGGAUUUGAAACCAAGCUUGACUAUGGAGCGCACGUUCUUAUUUAUGACAUUAAACUUCCUUUUGUAAGAUAGUUGGUGAGUGCCGUGUACUUGGUAACUAUCCAGUAAAUACUAGCAGGGAACGCACAGCCAAUUUCUCAUACCAGAAGCCAUGUUUCUCCUCUCUGGAUAUUAUGCUAAGCGUCAUGGGUGACCCUUUAAAGGCCUAAAAGUACUGUUUACUUCUCCAAGGGUAAGUCUCUUCUCUGUGGCCUCAGGAAGUUGGAGCAAACAGAAAUGUGGUAAAGGUGUUAAGGCAUCAGUCAGCGUGGGGAUGGUAAGAUGCCGCCAUAUUGUGGCCAAAUCGUGCCAAGCCAGUGGGGGGGCACUUUAGAACACGGGGGGAUCUUGAUGGGGCUUGCUGUGACAAGGAGGAGACACUUCGUCUGUGUGCAUUUGACUAGGGAGGUGAUGGAGAACCUUAGGUGACUUCCGGUCCUGGGAAGGAGAGCUUGGGGCAGAGUCCUGGGUCCUCUGAGUAUCUCAGCUGCAUUCGAAGUUGGAGACUGAGAAGGAUGAUCGGGGCUGAUCGAGAGAAAGCAGUGUGAGUCCUCCCCCAAGCCUCUGUCUUAGAGACUCUGGAAGGUGUUUUAAUAGUAAAGAGAUGCCCAUGGGAUGAGACAGCUUGCAUAGGUUUGGGGGUAGCUGUGACUGGCAUUUGCUCUCGGAAGACUAGAGAUGCCAACACUCCUAUGCUGGAGCUUGCUUUAGAUUUUUACCCUCUGUGUAAUUCUGCUCCAUGACCGGCCAAGCACUAUUUUAGGGGCUGGCAAUUCAAAGACAGUAGAAAGUGCAGUCCCUGCCCUUAAGCAACUGAUGUUCGUUGGAAGAGACAGACAGAUAAACAGAAAAUACAAAUCAAUAGGGUAAUCCAGAGGCAAGCAUGAGGGAUCAUGGGACCUUUGGGAAGGACCUCUAAUUCUGGGAGGGAGGUGGUGAGAUCAGAGGCAGCUGGUGAUACCUACCAAACAUCAGCCUCUGAGGCAGAAGGAGGUGGAAGGUAACAGGGAGCUAAGAGAUGAGCAGUUUUGUCUUGAUGGGGCUUAAAAUAUUAGGUAAGGCAAGGUAGGGGAUAAAGGUGGGGAGACAGGGCCACGUGUAAUAGAGGAAGGCGCUCAGGCUUCUUUGGCUCUCCAGCAAUAAUAGUAUCGCUAGAUAUAUGAGUGGCUUUGUAAAUAGAUCCCUCGGACAGCAGUAUGGAGGAUGGGAUUCGGGGGAGAAGAGGCUGAGUCAGAGAGACCUGCUGUAGUGAAUUCAGACAGGAUGAGGGCUUGAGCCAGGACUAUGAUGAUAGGAAAGGCAGCUAAAUAAACUGAGCAGGACUCGAUGUUUGAUUGGUCAUGGGUGGAGUGUUGGGAGAGAAAGAAUUUGGUGAAGGCUCCCACGUUUCUAGCUUGGGUGGCUGGGAAGAUGGUGGUGCUCCCACUGAGUUGGAAGUUAUAGGGAAAAAGCUAGGUUAGAACAGGAGAUGAUGAGGUCAGUCUUGAAAACGUUGAGUUGGAGGUGCCUGGUGGAUAUUUAAAGAGAGGGUCCCAGAGGCGGUUCCAGAGGCCUGCGCUAAUGUCAUGAGCAUCUAGUGCAUUGUUGAAACCUUGGAGGGGAGAUGGGCUCAGCGGGGAGCAGACCAGUGCUCCGAGAAAGGACUGUGGCAUUUCCGGCAGCCUGGGCUUGGGGCGGAACCAGCGCAAGGCACCAGCGGCUGUGCAGCUCAAGGGCUCCGGAAUAGAGCAGACUCCUAUGGGCAGAGAUGCUGCAGUCUACGCUGGCUUUACAGGAGAAUCGGACAGAGUGGGCCUGUUGCCGGGCUUGAGACAUUGUGUCCCAAUGCUGGUUCUGAUGCAGGGCUGGGGAGAAGGGUGGGCUGGGGGAGGAGAGGGGCGUCGCAGUCCCCUGCCAGCCAAGGGGGCUCUUUAAAAUGGAAACGUUUGAACUAUUGGUGAAACAUCAUGAAACGUUCCGGUCAUUGGUGUCUAGGCAGAGGUUCUCGGGCAGGUGAAGGCAGGAAAACACCCGUCGGGCCUCUUCACAUCGUGCCGGUGCUGAGAUUUUCACAGGUCAUAGGCUUGUGACAGGCUUGGGACCUGUCCUCAGGGGAGGGGGCAGUGUGGGUCCAUUUUGAAAAAAACUCCUGGGGGUGAUCCCUCCCAGGUGGAGAACCCCUGCUCUAGAGGACACAGGACUAACUGGAGAAAAGUCUCGGGAACCCUCCCUCUACUUUGUCCCCCUAAGUUGAACUGUUUUCCACCAACACUUCAAAGCGUCCUCCAGCCUAACAGGGGUACAGUCCCACCAUGGAGAAUUUCUACACGUUACUGCUCACCUUGCAGUAAAACAAUUACAGAAUCAUCACUCACUCACCCGGCAUUAUCAGGAAGGCUAGGGGGAGCACCUGAAGCCAUGGUGCUCUUUCUAGAACACCAUGAGAUAUUGACAUAUUUAUUUCUAUUAAAUGAUUUCAGACAAUUUUACGGGCAGAAAGUAUGACUCUAUAAUAUAUGUAUGCAAUCUAAAUUUACCACCAACUGUCCAUGAAAAAAAAAAAUCAAGCUGUCACACCAAGCCUAAUUGGUGAUUUCUGUGUUUUUCUGCUAAUUUUUGUUAGCUGUGCUCAUUUAUUUGUUUUAUCAUAUAAGUGUUCACUGGCAGACAAGUGGUAGCAGUUGCCAAAGUCUUAAGGAAAAUCUAGGAGAUAAAUUUCGGUGCCGUAUACUGAGGCUGUGGUGCCUUUGGGACAAGAGUGCGAUUCCAUCACCCCCUGAAAAUCGGUAAAAACCGCAAUCAUUGCAUUUUACUCGUAGAACCCCUGAGUCCAGCUUACGGAAUAAAUCCUUGAGAACCACUGACUUCAAUGAUGACAUUUAUUUCUUCUUUAACUGUCAAACAGCAGCUGUGUUUAUGUAGAUAUUCUUGACCCAAGUAAUGGGCGAGCUUUAUGGGAUCUGAGAACCCCACUCAAAAUGAAAAGCUGCCUCUGUGUGUUCUAGCUGUGGGGACUUGGUCCCUGGGUUCUUUCUACCCUGAACACGUUCCCCCCCCCACCCCCCCGCUUCCCAGUCUGUACCAACAAGAAGCCUUGCUUCUAGGCUCCACUCAUAGGCCGUUUGCUAAAAACAUAUUAUACCAAGGACUGAAGGUCUCACAAAGAGAGAGAGGCCUCCUCCAGAUUCAGGCACUGGUCAAGAGCACUGCUUGGAGCUCCGAUUUCCACCUGAGUACCUUCAGGGCCAGGGAGCUCACUUCUUCACAAAGAAAAGGUUUUCAGGAAGCCCCUCUGAUUUCCAUCUCCAACUUCUAAAAUCACCCAACCCUUAAAUUCUGCUUCGUUUUUGCCAUCGGCACUUUCUCCCUUGUAGUGUUUUUACUUGGGUCCUCAGUGUGUCCCUCUGUGGUAAGUGGCUCAGGUUUUGGAAUCAUUUGGGCUAGAACCUUCAACUCAUAACUACCUUCACCAUUUACUAGCUGUGUGACCUUGGUGAAUUCCUUAACCUCUCUGAGCCUCAGUUACCACAUACUUAAAAUGAGAAUCCCAUUACUGCCUAUUUCAAGGAUUAUCAUGAGGCCCAUGAAGGAAACUGCCUGACAGAAAGCCAUCAAUGUAGCGGAGAUAUUAUUCUUAUCCCCUCUCCUAGAUUACAAAGUCAGCGAGGGCUGGGACCUCUUCUUGGAUGUCUUUGAAUCUCCGCCUACCAGUCAGUAAAGUGCCUGUAUGAAGAAUCUAAUGAACGUACGGCAUGAAAGAGACUGAGCUGACCAAGACAGACAGGAAGCUUGGGCUCCACACCCAGCCCAGAGUCCAACGUGGGGCUUGAAGCUGAACUCACGACCCUGAGCUGAAAUCAACAGUUGGACGCUUAACCGACUGAGCCACUCAGGCGCCCGUGGAGAUGUUCUGUAUCCUUUUUGGGAGGUAGUUACACAUGCAUAUACAUUUGUCAAAAUUCAGCAAAUGACAAUGAUGAUCUGCACAUUUUGUUGAAUGUAAAUUAUACAGCAGUUUUUAAAAAGGGCAGGUUCAAGUGCUGGUCGUCUCCCUUACUGUAUAGACAAGUCCUUCAUCUCUCUGAGCCCUGGUUUCCUCCCUGAAAAAUGGAAGGACCACUUAUACCUGCGCCAUCGGUGAUCACAUAUAUUAUUAAAUGACACUACGUGAGUUAAAAGUGCUCUGUAGGGCGCCUGGGUGGCUCAGUUGGCUAAGCAACUGCCUUCGGCUCAGGUCAUGAUCCUGGAGUCUUGGGAUCGAGUCCCACAUCGGGCUCCCUGCUCAGCGGGGAGUCUGCUUCUCCCUCUGAUCCUCCCCCUCUCAUGCUCUCUGUCUCCCAUUCUCUCUCUCAGAUAAAUAAAUAAAAUCUCUAAAAAAAAAAAAAAAAGUGCUCUGUAAAUGAUGAAAAGCCCUGUACAUAGUGACUCCCGUUGUUCUGCUUUUCCUCCAGCUGCCUUCUAGAGCAGAUUAUUGAGCUGGUACAAAUCUGUGGGCUCUGCCCUGCAACUUCCCUUGGAGAUUAGUGUUUAUCUAUUUUAAGGAGACUCUGGAGGUAUCAAAAGGCUGCAGAAAAGCAAAUGGAAUAUGGAUUUGCUGGAGACAGGAGGGCGGGCAGCAAAGGGAACAGCUGGGGAGAAAGCCAUCCAUCCAGCUGGGCAGCAGGGCCAGCCGGGUGCCGAGAGGGAGUCGCUGAAUGCCUGCGAGAGAGAGAGAGAAUGAGAGAGAGAGAGAGAGAGUCGUGACCAGGAAAAGCAGCGUGAGUAAAAAAAAAAAUCACAUCUUGCCAAACAAACUGGGUCACAUUCGUGAUGGAGUUAGUCACUGAGCAGAGCCGGGAGAGCAUUUUCAGGGGGAAAAAGCACGGUUGGGGGACCAUGGUGACUCAGCUGAAGAGGCAAAGGCCUCUUGGGCCUCCUGGCCUGGUGGGGUAGUUAAGUGAGAGGGUCCUUCUGUGGCUCCUGCAGUAUUUUGGGUUUGAACUCGAUCUUGACUCCUAAAGGCAAUCACAAACAACCUUUACAUUGGAAUCAAGAGCACAGCACACAUUUUAAAAAGGAAAAAUCUUAGCGAGAAGCCAAGUUAAACUGGGACCGGAAGAGUGGGGAGGCCAUUGCGGAGCUCACCCCCGGAAUUCGAGUGGGAGGUGACAACUGCCUGAGUACAACCGAGCUCCUGAGUGAUUACACUGGCAAAGUCUUUCAGUGUAGCAACUUUAAAGUCUGAGCAAAGAGCAAAUGCCCUUUGGCAACAAAAAUCUAUAAGAUGAUUGAACAAUGCCGAGAUCAAAUUUAAAAUUGUUGGCUACUAAAAUAAAGUUAAAAGAGGGAAAGAUGUAGCAGGAAGAAACAAUCUACAAGACAAAUCUGAUGUGUGAAAUUUUGAUUUUAUCCUCAUUAUAAAAAUUUUGGUGCUUUCUGCUAGAUGGUUCUGCCAAGAAAUGUGAUAUGUUGAAAAAGAAGAGGAAAUGUACUCUAGAUGCUGAGGCUAUAAAAGGCUGUUUAAAGUGACAGGAAUGAGUCGAGGUUCUCCCCAUGACCGAGGUUAUAAAAUUAGGAUCUUAAAACUACCAAAUCUGGGUGAGAAAAAAAAAACUCCAGUAAAAGCCAUAUCUAAAUUUAUCUUAAUAUAACUUACAUUUUCCCACAGUGUUUGUCUUUUCUCUGGGCAUGUCGGAUUCCUUAGGCUGUUAAUUCCCUCCCGAAGAGCAGUCUCUGUUGGAGCGUGGUGGGGAGCUAGGGUGAGGAGGCACAGUGAGAAAGCAAGGGGGGUUCUUUCCUACAACCUCUGAAUCGGAAAGAGGGUGCGGUGAGACGUGGACGCUAGCAUGUGGGGCGCAUCACUGUGUUGAUGCCUGGUGCUCAGGAUGCUGAUGGAAACCUAGCUGGGAGCAGCCUUCCCCACCCAGGUCUUUGUCUUACUGGUAAUCUGAUGCCUUCAACCUGCACCUCAACACUCGGUGAUUCCAUUUUUUCUUUUCUACCUGUACCACGCUGUUAAUGAGUACGUGGGGUCUAGGACCUCCUGCAGCCUGGGGCCGGCUCCAUGAGCUUCUUUACCCCUUUUGUCCCACGUCUUCAGGAACAGUUGGACACACACCUUCUCCCCCCAGUCACUCACUCAUGGGCUGUGAAUCCUAAGGGAAUCUCUUCUCUCUCCCUGGCUUCAGAGGGAGAUUUGGGUUUGAACCUCAGGGCCGUGACUUAUUGGCCAUCUGGGAAACCUCUGUGAAUGCUGAGUUUCCUGAGAGGUGGCACGGAGUGAGUGGCCAAUACACAGGGGCUAUAAAUAGCUGCUUCACAUUUUUGCCAAAGACUGGACCGGACGGACCUCGAUGGUAAAAUAACCAAAUCAACAUGCAGUCGGUUAUCUUUUGAUAUAAGGGAACAAAUAAGAGAGAUCAGAGGAUCCUCAAAGGCUGUUUUUGUCCCAAAGCGACUCUCCAAGGACAAAACUAGCAGCCCUCUGUGAAAGUGUGAUCUAAAAAGAAAUGUCUUCAUGCCUGGUUCUUGGUACAAGAUCUUCUUAAACCCUUGGAAUUUCUUGAAUGAUGGGAGAGGAGUUUCUUUUGUUAUUCAUAACAAGCCCCUUUCGACCACACCUGAGUUUAUGCUGAAGAAGUGACUUCAUCGCUUCAGGCUGGGAGCUGUUUGCCCAAGGAACCAACUCUGUGAUAAGAGGGUUAGAACUUUCAGUUCAAUCCCCUGACCUGGGAGGGGAGAGGGACUAGAGAUGGAAGUAAUCACCAAUGGCCAAUGAUUUAAUCAAUCAUCCUUAUGUAAUGCCACCUCCAUAAAUGAUGCAGUUCGGAGAGCUUCCUGAUCAGUGAACACAUCAAGGUGUGGGAGGGGGGCCUGCCCAGAGAAGUGUGGAAGCUCCACAGCCCUGCCCUCCCUCCACCCAAUACCCUGCUCUAUGAAUCUCUUCCAUUUGACCAUUCAUUUGUAUCCUUUAUAAUGCCCUUCACAAUAAACCGUCUCCCUGAGUUCUGUGAGCUGUUAUAGAAAAUUCUCGAACCUGAGGAGGGAGUCGCGGGAACCCCCAACUUUACAGCCGCUGGGAGGCCCCCAGGACAUGCAAUUGGUAGCUGACAUGGGGGCAGCUUUUUGGGACUGAAACCUUAAGUUGGGGGCUCCGUAUUAAUUCUGGAGAUACGGUGUCAGAAUUAAAUUAUAGAACACUUAAUUGGUGUCCAGAGAGUUGGAGAACUGUUUGGUGUUGGGGGGAAAAAAACGCACUCAUUUGGUGUCAGGGUGUCCUGAAUAGAAACAGCCUAUGAAACAGAUUUCGGAGCGUCGCCCACAGUGAGGCCCCCACCGGAACUGGGGCAGGACAAGGUAAUCUGAUGGUGUCAGAGUUCUUCGGCGGUAAGCAAUCAGAAAGAUUCUGAUGCACUUAAUUGGAAAGGACUUUGGAAAGGUCUAGAGUAGUGGUUGUUGGAGGCUGAAGAGCCAGGCCUCAGGAAGAAGGAAGGCUGUUAGCAGGAAUGAAAUGUUCCCCCAUCAGAACUUCUAAGUUGCAGUGUUUUCUGUUAUUCUCUCAAAGGCGCCAAACCCUAGGAACGGGUCUCAGUGGCCCGGAUUGGGUUCUGUGCGCCAGUAUCCUCCUAGUAGGAGGGGUGGGGGGAGAAUCCUUGAUUGACAGGCCCUCAGGACUUCUCAGAAUGGGGAAAGGGUUAAUUCCUUAAUGGGAAAUCAGGGUCCUUUUACCCCCCAAAGUGGAAAGGCAUGUAUGACAGGCCAAAGCAAAGAUCCCUGGCAUGCUGAUUUUAGGCUCCACUGUUAAAGUGUAGAAAACCAAGGAAAUGAUUCCGUCGUACCCUUCCCUGGCCAGGACCAGGCCCAGUUCUGGGAAGCACACUGUCGGAGGCCUUUGACUGCUUGGGAGGUGUUCAAAAAGAGCAAUUAAGACAGUGGCCAUCUGGAAAACAUGACACAUAAGAAAUGGUUGGAAGACGAGGGGAAGGAACCCCAAGAAGGGAGGACGGAGUGCACCUCUGCGGGCUGUUCUCCGAUAUCUGAGGUCUGGAUGUAGAAGAAGAAAAGUUUUGUAUUUAGUGGGCUCCAAAGGGAAGGACUAAAACCAUAAGGGAACAGAUUUCAGUUCUGUGUCUACAGGAAAGAGCUUUCCAAAAGAUCAACUGCUGGAAAUUAAAUGAGUGGAUGGAAGGCAGGGAACUUGCCAUCCCCGAGAAACCUUGGUUCUUCAAUUAGCAAGAGCAGUAACCGCACGCCUUGCAUCGCCUUACAGCACACCAGUGGGUCAUGGCCCAGCUUUUGAGCACCCCGACCUAAGGCUGUCAACGGAACAGUACUCUCUGCUUGGCCACCUCUGCGAAAGAGCGCUUUUCCACAUGUGGAGUUCUGGAUGUGCCCAGUGGGAGUGAGGAUGGAUAAAAAGGACAAGAAGGAGCUCCUCCGAGUAUCCUUUCUAACCACUUGCUCAGGGACAAUACCACAGGGAGCCCUUCAUUUAGAGCAUUGCUCCACUCAAGGACCUCAUUUGCCAUGUGUUGCAUUAACGUGCAUCCUUCAUGCAUCUCCCAGCGCCGACAUCAAGCCAACAUCUUGCUUUACCAUCGAACAGUAUGCAGCAAAAUUUGGUCACGUCUCUUGGGCUAUUCCUAUUACUAGAAAGCUACCAUAUCGGUGUUGGAAGGAAUUUUGUGGUCAAUGAGUUUACAAUGCUUGGAAAUAUCCAGUGGUGUUCGUGACAAGCUGAUGUGUAACCUGGUCUUGAUUUUUUUUGGACACUCACAACCUCCUAAAGUAGCACACAGCACUUUGGGCAGUUUCGGUUGACAAAAUCCCUUCUCACUUUGGGGUAAAAUCAACCCUCUGUCUGGCUAUAUCUAUCAAAAUCGAAAAUGCACGGAGCCUUUGACCAGCCAUUCCACUGUUAACAAUUUAUUCUACAGAUACAGUCCACACAGGCUCAAAGACGCGUGUGCAAAGAUAUUCAUUACAGCAAAGGGCUGGAUAUCAUUUAAAUGUUUAACCGGGGGACUGAUUAAACAAAUUAUGGAGUAUCUGUUGGGUGGAAUAUCAGGCAGCUGUUAAAAAAAAUCAACUAUUUUCACAUACUGACAGGGAAGUCUUUACAUUGGUUCUUUUUUUUACAUUGGUUCUUCUGCCCCUGGCCAUGUUGAUUUGUGAGAAAAAGAAAGUGGUUCAAUAAUACAUGUCACAUUUAUAUAAUCAAAAAGAAAGAUACACAUGAAUAUAUGUUUAGGUUUUAUCUGGAAAGAUAAUGGCAACUGUGCUUGCCCCUGGGAAAGAAAACUGUGAGACUGGGUAUCGGGUAGACAGGAGAAUUUUAUGUGCAUAUGUAUAUGAAUAUAUAUCUAGGUAUGUUUAUAUGUAUAUGUACAUCUCUGUUGCUGUCUCUCUCUACCCAACCCCCUUUCUCUUUUGAAAUCUUUUACCCUGUAAAUAACUUAAAAAACAUCUUUAAGGGGUGCCUGUGUGGCUCAGUCAGUUAAGUGGCUGCCUUUAGUUCAGGUCAUGAUCCCAGCGUCCUGGGAUCGAGCCCUGUGUCGGGCUCCCUGCUCAGUGGAGAGCCUGCUUCUCCCUCUGCCUGCUUCUCCCUCUGCCUGCCUCUCUGCCUACCUGUGCUCUCUCUUUAUCUCUCUGUCAAAUAAAUAAAUAAAAUCUUUAAGAAAAAAAACCCAUCUUUAAAAAUAUGUCUUCUUAGGCAACAAAAAACAAAAAGCGACAAAUGAGAUUACAUUAAGCUUAAAAAACUUCUAUGCAUCAAAGGAAACAAUCAACAGAGUGAAAAAGCAACCUGUGGAAUGGGAGAGAAUAUUGGCAAAUCAUAUAUGUGAUAAGAGGCUAAUAACCAGAACAUAUAAAGGAACUUCUAUAAAUCAACAACAAAAAACCCAAAUAACCCAAUUAAAAAAUGGGCAAAGGACCUGAAUAGGCUAUUCUCCAAAGAAGAUAUUCAGAUGGCAAGAAGCAUAUAAAAACAUGCUCAAUAUCACUAAUCAUCAGAAAUAUGUAAAUCAAAAUUACCAUGAGGUAUCACCUCAUGCCCAUUAGGAUGACCACUAUCAAAAGAAAAGAAAAUAACAAUUGUUGGCAAGGAUGCAGAAAAAUCGGAACUCUCAUGCACUGUUGGUAUGAAUGUAAAAUGAUGCAGCCAUAUGGAAAACAGUAUGGAAGUUCCUAAAAAAAUUAAAAAUAAAAUUACCAUAUGAUCUAGCAAUCCCACUUCUGGGUAUAUAUCCAAAAGAAUUCAAAGCAGGAUUUCAGAGAGAUAGUUGUACAUUUAUGUUCAUUAGACCAUCAUUCACAAUAACUGACAUGUGGAAAUGACCCACAUGUCAAUGAACAAAUGAAAUAAAAUGUGGUAUAUACAUACAAUGAAAUAUUAUGCAGCCUUAAAAAAGAAGGAAAUUCUGUCACAUGCUACAACAUGGAUGGAAGUGAAGCACAUUAUGCUUAGUGAAAGAAGUCAGUCACAAAAGGACAGAUAUGGUGUGAUUCCCCUCACAUGAGGUGUCUAAAAGAGUUAAAAUGAUAGAAAGUAAAAAGGUGGUUGCCAAGGGCUGGGGGGCAGGGGAAAUUCGUGUUUAUUUAUUUUUUGUAAAGAUUGUAUUUAUUUUAUUUGAGAGAGAGAGAGCGUGAGCAAGAGAGCGAGCACAAGCAGGGGAGAGAGGCAGAGGCAGAGGGAGAAGCAGACUCCCCGCUGAGCAAGGAGCCUGAUGCGGGACUCGAUCCCAGGACCCUGAGAUCCUGACCUGAGCCAAGGGCCUAACCGACUGAGCCACCCAGGUGCCCUAGAAAUUCGUGUUUAAUGGGUAUAGAGUUUCAGUUCUGCAAGACAAAAAAGCUCUAGAGAUCUGUCGUGUAACAAUGUGAAUAUAUUUAACAGUACUGAAUUGUACACUUAAAAAUGAUUAAGAUGGCUUAACAAAAAAACUGACCUCUUAAAUCCUAGCACAGGGCCCACCCGAUUCUACCUCUUAAAGCUGUACAAAAUACUUUAAUCUUUUUUCUACUACGGCAGGCCUUUCCAGACUUCUCCCAGGGCUUCUUAACCUGAUGGCCUCUCUUCUAGGUUAAACAUGUGCUUCUUUACACCAGUUCUGCCCCUGGUCAUCUGGUCUUAACCCCUCCUCCGGCCCAGAACCCCCAGCUGAGCUGCAGCAGGAUGGUGGGAUCCUUGACACAAUGAAGCUGUACCCUUGGGAAAAAGGCCUCACAGACACGCACCCCUGCCCCGGGGAGACCCUGUUCUGAGCACCCAGUGGGAGCAUAGUGGUGAUCUGGUGAGGAUAUCUCAGAGUGGGGUAUCUGGGGAGGGAAGGACCUCACGUGGGGUGUGGACCAGAGGGGAACCGAGGCUGGGUGCAGAGGCAAGCUUUGCUAAGUGUGUGACACCCUGUGUUCCCUAUACACGGUCAUGAAUUUGCUGGAAUAAAAUAGAAAAACCAGUAUCGCUUAAAUUCACAUGGCUCCUUUAUAUACUUUUAAAAGCAUUUUGCAGCUGGAUUAAAUUUGCUACUCAUGGCAACUCUUUGAGGUAGGCAGUCAGUAAGUAUUUUUCUCAUUUCAAGAAGAGAUGACAGCCAGAGGGAUUAAGGACUUACUCUGUGUCCUUCCUGGGCUGACCCUUUCCACUCUACAGCCUGCCUUUGAUUUCAUGUAAAAACAAACAAAACAAGCAAAACAGAAACAAAAGCCAAAAAGACCAUUUGCUCAAUUGUCCUGAGUCUUACAAUUUUGAAAGAUGAAAAUGUUUUCAGCAGAGGUAGAUGCAAUAGACCGCACUGCUUCCAGAUCAUGAUGCAGACCCAUGAGUGCCAAAGGCUGUUUGUGGGGCACCCUUGCGCUAGGGCCCUCACUGAGCCGGGAGAGCCCUGGGCCUCUUCUUUGACUGCGUUGGUGACAGUGGAACCUGCCUCCACCAAAGGGUAAGAGACCGGUUCAACUUCCUGCCCUGGGGAAACAGAAGUCCCCUCCCCAUGGCUAUAUAAGAGGAACCAAAAUAUCCUUAGAGCCCGUCUGUGGCUAGGGCCCUACACAGGGCCCACGGGAUCCCUCUCUCCUGCAGGGGCUGGAAAGCCAGAACGGUGGGAAGGCAGAGGGAAAGAGGGCCUCUGGCAGCCAGGAUUAGAGAAUGUGGGUAUCCAGAAGCCUCCAGCAAGCGGGGGGUGUGCACAUCAUCCAGGCCCUGGCUGUUUCUCCCGGUCAGCACAUGGCCCCGAGGCUGCACGUCUGCCUAUAGUAACUCUAUUUUCCCCCUUUAGGAUGCUCUCCCUGGCCAUUUUAACCUAAUUUCAUCAGGAUAAACAAGUUAGGGAAGUAAAAGGAAGAGGCACAGAGGAAAAUUUCCUUGCAGUCUGGAGCACCAGGGUCCCCAAGGGAAUGAGAAAAGGGCUUCUCUUCUCGCACAUAGAAAAAAGACAUUCUGCUGCCAGAGACACUCCCUUCGUGUUCUAAACUGGCAAACUCUGGGCGAGGGAGAGGAAGGUGGAGGGGUUUCUGCAGGAAGUCUGCUUUCUGGCCUCUCGCUGAUAGAUCCAGGGACAGGGAAUGAUAUUUAAAACAGUUAACAAGCGGGCCUGACCAAUCAGAGCCUGAGUUCCAGAGCCAGCUCCUGGGGGCCCCCUGCUGGGCCGUAGGUUCCAAUUCGGCUGCAGGACGGUGGGGAGGUGGGGUGGGGGGA
This is a long non-coding RNA of Mirounga angustirostris (Northern elephant seal), 16463 nucleotides long. RefSeq lists it as uncharacterized. The transcript has 6 exons. The record is from RefSeq and is a predicted model, not a curated record. Lineage: Eukaryota; Metazoa; Chordata; Mammalia; Carnivora; Phocidae.